Molecule: long non-coding RNA, 1037 nt
Filed under: Chinchilla lanigera (long-tailed chinchilla)
Lineage: Eukaryota; Metazoa; Chordata; Mammalia; Rodentia; Chinchillidae
Description: lncRNA (ENSCLAG00000025688.1)
Source: RNAcentral
UAUGCAAGGAAGCACUGAAAAGACUUGACUGUAUUAUUUAAGAGUACUCAGAAGAGGCGUGGUAUAUACAAUUGAAAACAAGGCUAAAUGCUUGCACAAGUCUUUCUGCAGAGACUGCAAAUGCUGCCUUUUGCUUUUCAGAGCAAAGGCUCCUUGAUACAGACCACUAACCAGACACCUAGUCCAAAAUGGUACCUGAUAGCUCUAUUUCGGCCAGAGGUUUUCCAACCUGCAGCCACUGCCCUUGGAUCCAGUUAAUUCCAUCACUGCGAAUCCCUGGAGACUGAAUCGAAAGACUGGCCUGUCGGUGGAUCCUAUUAGUCAUCGUUCUGCCUGCCACUUACCAUGUAAACUUUCUAACCCAAGGAACAAGAAUUUGGGCUUUGACCUGAACGAUACUUCUCUGGAGCUUCCCCAGUGACCCUGAAAUUCCCAAAUGUUGUCCCAUGUUCACUGAGGACUCCAGGAAACUAGAGCGGGUCCUGCGAUGUGCAUUCCUCUUUCUACAAGCUCUAUAUAUGGCAGUCACUUGGAGAAGACUCCCUGCGAAGCUCAUAGUGCCUUAAUCAAGAAGUAAGCUCAGGUUUACUCUAUUCUCAGAUGCCCAAAUAGAAAAAAAAAUAAUAAACCCAAAAUAUGUCAAUUCUCUUCCCACUCUUUCAAUUCCAAACCUUUUUUGUUCCUAGUUCAUUUUAGGAAGUAUUUUCCAGUCUGAGAGAGCGAGGAGGGAAUAGAAACUCCUCUAGAAGGAGAUAAAAUGGUCCGCUGGAACUCUCUUCUUGGACUUAGGCCUGUAGCUUUUAAGCUUGGAAGAUUGAGAACUUGUCUUCCUUUUCAAGUGUACAUCUGAUAACUUCCCCAAAUCUCCCACCCAACUGAGGUAUAGUCACGCAAAGAAGAAAAGAAGAUGCAUAUUGUUGUCUCAAGUUUAUUACCCCAACACAGAUCCACACUGAGGUGAAUGUUUCUUAAAGCACUCAUAUUAGUUAUUAGUCUUACUUGAACCAUAUCAGGUUGUUCUAAUUCCUAAGCAAUUU